GAUGAACGCUGGCGGCGUGCCUAAUACAUGCAAGUCGAGCGAACAGACGAGGAGCUUGCUCCUCUGACGUUAGCGGCGGACGGGUGAGUAACACGUGGAUAACCUACCUAUAAGACUGGGAUAACUUCGGGAAACCGGAGCUAAUACCGGAUAAUAUAUUGAACCGCAUGGUUCAAUAGUGAAAGACGGUUUUGCUGUCACUUAUAGAUGGAUCCGCGCCGCAUUAGCUAGUUGGUAAGGUAACGGCUUACCAAGGCAACGAUGCGUAGCCGACCCGAGAGGGUGAUCGGCCACACUGGAACUGAGACACGGUCCAGACUCCUACGGGAGGCAGCAGUAGGGAAUCUUCCGCAAAGGGCGAAAGCUUGACGGAGCAACGCCGCGUGAGUGAUGAAGGUCUUCGGAUCGUAAAACUCUGUUAUUAGGGAAGAACAAAUGUGUAAGUAACUAUGCACGUCUUGACGGUACCUAAUCAGAAAGCCACGGCUAACUACGUG
Molecule: ribosomal RNA, 497 nt
Filed under: uncultured bacterium
Lineage: Bacteria
Description: partial 16S ribosomal RNA
Rfam family: Bacterial small subunit ribosomal RNA
Source: RNAcentral